RNAcentral lists this ribosomal RNA (481 nucleotides) under uncultured bacterium. RNAcentral describes it as "partial 16S ribosomal RNA". It matches the Rfam family "Bacterial small subunit ribosomal RNA", at positions 28 to 507 of the family's 1533-position model. The record is from RNAcentral.
GAUGAACGAGGGAGGCGUGCUUAACACAUGCAAGUCGAACGAAGCAUUUAAGACAGAUUCCUUCGGUUUGAAGUCUUUUAUGACUGAGUGGCGGACGGGUGAGUAACGCGUGGGUAACCUGCCUCAUACAGGGGGAUAGCAGCUGGAAACGGCUGGUAAUACCGCAUAAGCGCACAGUACCACAUGGUACAGUGUUAAAAACUCCGGUGGUAUGAGAUGGACCCGCGUCUGAUUAACUUGUUGGCGGGGUAACGGCCCACCAAGGCGACGAUCAGUAGCCGACCUGAGAGGGUGACCGGCCACAUUGGGACUGAGACACGGCCCAGACUCCUACGGGAGGCAGCAGUGGGGAAUAUUGCACAAUGGAGGAAACUCUGAUGCAGCGACGCCGCGUGAGUGAAGAAGUAGUUCGCUAUGUAAAGCUCUAUCAGCAGGGAAGAUAGUGACGGUACCUGACGAAGAAGCGCCGGCUAAAUACGUG